AGGCUUCGGGGGAUACUGCCAGACUUGGAACCGGGAGAGGUAAGAGGUACUACAGGGGUAGGAGUGAAAUCUUGUAAUCCCUGUGGGACCACCUGUGGCGAAGGCGUCUUACCAGAACGGGUUCGACGGUGAGGGACGAAAGCUGGGGGCACGAACCGGAUUAGAUACCCCGGGUAGUCCCAGCCGUAAACGAUGCUCGCUAGGUGUCAGGCAUGGCGCGACCGUGUCUGGUGCCGCAGGGAAGCCGUGAAGCGAGCCACCUGGGAAGUACGGCCGCAAGGCUGAAACUUAAAGGAAUUGGCGGGGAGCACAACAACGGGUGGAAGCCUGCGGUUUAAUUGGACUCAACGCCGGACAACUCACCGGGGGCGACAGCAAUAUGUUAGGCCAAGCUGAAGACUUUGCCUGAAUCGCCGAGUGGAGGUGCAUGG
RNAcentral lists this ribosomal RNA (431 nucleotides) under uncultured archaeon. RNAcentral's name for it is "bacterial SSU rRNA". It matches the Rfam family "Archaeal small subunit ribosomal RNA", at positions 568 to 997 of the family's 1478-position model. The record is from RNAcentral.